UGGGGAAUAUUGCACAAUGGGCGCAAGCCUGAUGCAGCCAUGCCGCGUGUAUGAAGAAGGCCUUCGGGUUGUAAAGUACUUUCAGUCGGGAGGAAGGUGGUAAGGUUAAUAACCUUAUCAAUUGACGUUACCGACAGAAGAAGCACCGGCUAACUCCGUGCCAGCAGCCGCGGUAAUACGGAGGGUGCAAGCGUUAAUCGGAAUUACUGGGCGUAAAGCGCACGCAGGCGGUUGAUUGAGUCAGAUGUGAAAUCCCCGGGCUUAACCCGGGAAUUGCAUCUGAUACUGGUCAGCUAGAGUCUUGUAGAGGGGGGCAGAAUUCCAUGUGUAGCGGUGAAAUGCGUAGAGAUGUGGAGGAAUACCGGUGGCGAAGGCGGCCCCCUGGACAAAGACUGACGCUCAGGUGCGAAAGCGUGGGGAGCAAACAGG
This 429-nucleotide ribosomal RNA is filed under the name Chloroflexota bacterium. Its description in RNAcentral is "Chloroflexi bacterium partial 16S ribosomal RNA". It matches the Rfam family "Bacterial small subunit ribosomal RNA", at positions 355 to 776 of the family's 1533-position model. Lineage: Bacteria; Bacillati; Chloroflexota. The record is from RNAcentral.